UCGCACGCAUUAUCCUAUUACAACUGUGAAUCCCUGGUGUGAAUCUCUGUGCAAGGAUGGAGAUAGCAUCAAUCCCUUGUGCAGAAGUUCAAAGGCGGCUGGGGCAUGAUGGGUGCUUGUCACCUCCUUCAUGUUCUUGUCGCCAUCCCUCCUUUUCAAUUUUUUUCAUUCUUGUUUUCGAAUGCUUUGCAUUCUUACAACUUUCAGCGAUUGAUGUCUCGGCUCGAACAACGAUGAAGGGCACAGCGAACUGUGAUAAGCAUUGUGAAUUGCAGAAUUCCGUGAAUCAAUAGAAACUUGAAUGUAGACUGUGCUUUCGGGAUAUCCCUGAAAGCAUGCCUGCUUCAGUGUCCAAUCCAUUUCAUGCCGGCAACACGAUCCGCAUUGGCGGUGCUGUUGCCUGUGUGUGUUUGUGUGUUAAGGAGCUUCUUGCCUUUGACACAUGAAGGACAUGGGAAUUUCUUUCGAGCAUACAACAAUCUAUUCACCUCCGGUGUUUUUGUUUGUGUUGCUCGUUGGAAUCCUGCCAGCUUGUCUGUGCACAGCUAUC
RNAcentral lists this unclassified non-coding RNA (550 nucleotides) under Stoeckeria algicida. RNAcentral's name for it is "contains ITS1, 5.8S rRNA and ITS2". The stretch from base 199 to 353 matches the Rfam family "5.8S ribosomal RNA". The record is from RNAcentral. Lineage: Eukaryota; Dinophyceae; Thoracosphaerales; Thoracosphaeraceae.